GGCCCCGACUCNUACGGGAGGCAGCAGUGGGGAAUAUUGGGCAAUGGGGGAAACCCUGACCCAGCGACGCCGCGUGGGUGAUGAAGGCCUUCGGGUCGUAAAGCCCUGUCGGGAGGAACGAAUGACCUCGUCGCAAAUAGNUACGAGGUGUGACGGUACCUCCGAAGGAAGCACCGGCCAACUCCGUGCCAGCAGCCGCGGUAAGACGGAGGGUGCAAGCGUUGCUCGGAAUCACUGGGCGUAAAGGGUGCGUAGGCGGCCUCCUAAGUCUGACGUGAAAGCCCAGGGCUUAGCCCUGGAAGGGCGUUAGAAACUGGGAGGCUUGAGUACCGGAGGGGAGAGUGGAAUUCCCGGUGUAGCGGUGAAAUGCGUAGAUAUCGGGAAGAAUACCGGUGGCGAAAGCGACUCUCUGGACGGUUA
Molecule: ribosomal RNA, 420 nt
Filed under: uncultured soil bacterium S074
Lineage: Bacteria
Description: bacterial SSU rRNA
Rfam family: Bacterial small subunit ribosomal RNA
Source: RNAcentral